This 73-nucleotide transfer RNA is filed under the name Cyphomyrmex costatus. It matches the Rfam family "tRNA". From Rfam's summary of the family: Transfer RNA (tRNA) molecules are approximately 80 nucleotides in length. Their secondary structure includes four short double-helical elements and three loops (D, anti-codon, and T loops). The record is from Rfam by way of RNAcentral. Lineage: Eukaryota; Metazoa; Arthropoda; Insecta; Hymenoptera; Formicidae.
GCCUCGGUAGUCUAAUUGGCUAGGACACUUGCGAAUAAAGCAAGCGAUCUGGGUUCGACUCCCAUCCGAGGUA